Molecule: ribosomal RNA, 433 nt
Filed under: uncultured bacterium
Lineage: Bacteria
Description: partial 16S ribosomal RNA
Rfam family: Bacterial small subunit ribosomal RNA
Source: RNAcentral
AACGAACGCUGGCGGCAUGCCUAACACAUGCAAGUCGAACGAGACCUUCGGGUCUAGUGGCGCACGGGUGCGUAACGCGUGGGAACCUGCCCUUAGGUUCGGAAUAACUCCCCGAAAGGGGUGCUAAUACCGGAUAAUGUCUUCGGACCAAAGAUUUAUCGCCUUUGGAUGGGCCCGCGUUGGAUUAGCUAGUUGGUAGGGUAAAAGCCUACCAAGGCGACGAUCCAUAGCUGGUCUGAGAGGAUGAUCAGCCACACUGGGACUGAGACACGGCCCAGACUCCUACGGGGGGCAGCAGUAGGGAAUAUUAGACAAUGGGCGAAAGCCUGAUACAGCAAUGCCGCGUGAGUGAUGAAGGCCUUAGGGUUGUAAAGCUCUUUUACCCGGGAUGAUAAUGACAGUACCGGGAGAAUAAGCACCGGCUAACUCCGUG